CUUUAGCCCAACAAGUAUUAAAGGUCACGCCUGCCCAGUGAAACAUUUAAACGGCCGCGGUAUUCUAACCGUGCAAAGGUAGCGUAAUCACUUGUCUUCUAAAUAAAGACCUGUAUGAACGGCUAAAUGAGGACGGACCUGUCUCUUAUAACCAAUCAGUGAAAUUGAUCUACCAGUACAAAAGCUGGUAUAACCACAUAAGACGAGAAGACCCUGUGGAGCUUAAGACCAAACACUAACCCACCAGCGCUAGUGCGACGUCUUGAGUUGGGGCGACUUCGGAACAAAACAGAACUUCCGAGCAGGGGCCCACCAGCCCCUCCCAAGGCCAACAAGCCAAAGCAUAAAAUGACCCGGCCCAUGCCGACCAGCGAACCAAGUUACCCCAGGGAUAACAGCGCCAUCUUCUUCAAGAGUCCCUAUCGACAAGAAGGUUUACGACCUCGAUGUUGGAUCAGGACACCCCGGUGGUGCAGCCGCUACCAAAGGUUCGUUUGUUCAACGAUUAACAGUCCUACGUGAUCUGAGUUCAGACCGGAGAAAUCCAGGUCGGUUUCU
RNAcentral lists this ribosomal RNA (558 nucleotides) under Eutropis sp. USNM57529. Its description in RNAcentral is "partial 16S ribosomal RNA". It matches the Rfam family "Bacterial large subunit ribosomal RNA", at positions 1820 to 2639 of the family's 2925-position model. Lineage: Eukaryota; Metazoa; Chordata; Lepidosauria; Squamata; Scincidae. The record is from RNAcentral.